AUCACUUCUUAUCUCUAUGAACUGAGGUUAUGUGUAGUGUCUGUUCUUUGCAGUGUAAUUUCUGCAAUGGACUCCGAACUGAGACCAAUGAAAUUCAGACGGGUGCUGUGAGCUUGUGUCAUGGUCAGCCUCCUAUUGGAUUAUCUCAAGGAUUGACCCAUUAAUA
Molecule: small nuclear RNA, 166 nt
Filed under: Trichobilharzia regenti
Lineage: Eukaryota; Metazoa; Platyhelminthes; Trematoda; Strigeidida; Schistosomatidae
Description: U2 spliceosomal RNA
Rfam family: U2 spliceosomal RNA
About the family: U2 is a small nuclear RNA (snRNA) component of the spliceosome (involved in pre-mRNA splicing).
Source: Rfam by way of RNAcentral